AAUUCACUCAACUCCUCCUGUUCUUCGAAUUCUCCCUGAAAUUUCACGUUAUUUCGUCUCCUUCUCCUGCCCUCUCUCUCUCUCACGAUCUCCCUCCUUAUUCUCUUUCUCUUUUUCCUUUUUCUCUUUUCUUCUUUUUUUUUCUCCUUGUCCCAGACUCCCCCUUUUAUACCCAACCUAGCUCAAAUCCUACCCAUUAAAAAUCAAAUCUCUAAUCUCUACUAUUUAUUUUACUCUUUAUAACUCUCUCUUGCUCUCUCUCCCUUAUUCACCUAU
RNAcentral lists this long non-coding RNA (276 nucleotides) under Carica papaya (papaya). RNAcentral describes it as "long non-coding RNA (CPAP_LNC003269)". Lineage: Eukaryota; Viridiplantae; Streptophyta; Magnoliopsida; Brassicales; Caricaceae. The record is from RNAcentral.